RNAcentral lists this ribosomal RNA (494 nucleotides) under uncultured bacterium. RNAcentral describes it as "partial 16S ribosomal RNA". It matches the Rfam family "Bacterial small subunit ribosomal RNA", at positions 28 to 507 of the family's 1533-position model. The record is from RNAcentral.
GACGAACGCUGGCGGCGUGCUUAACACAUGCAAGUCGAACGGAAAGGCCUGCUUUCCCUUGUGGAUUGCGGGUACUCGCGUGGCGAACGGGUGAGUAACACGUGAGUGAUCUGCCCCCAACUUGGGUAUAAGCCUGGGAAACUGGGUCUAAUUCCCGAUAGGACUGCAGGGUGGUGCCUGUGGUGGAAAACGAUUUUCUAGUGGUUGGGGAUGAGCUCGCGGCCUAUCAGCUUGUUGGUGGGGUAAUGGCCUACCAAGGCGGCGACGGGUAGCCGGCCUGAGAGGGUGGACGGCCACAGUGGGACUGAGAUACGGCCCAGACUCCUACGGGAGGCAGCAGUGGGGAAUAUGGCACAAUGGGCGGAAGCCUGAUGCAGCGACGCCGCGUGGGGGAUGACGGCCUUCGGGUUGUAAACUCCUUUCGACCGCGAGGAAGCCACCUGGUUGGAAGGGUGGUGACGGUAGUGGUAGAAGAAGCACCGGCUAACUACGUG